Molecule: unclassified non-coding RNA, 223 nt
Filed under: Hevea brasiliensis (rubber tree)
Lineage: Eukaryota; Viridiplantae; Streptophyta; Magnoliopsida; Malpighiales; Euphorbiaceae
Source: RNAcentral
GGUGUAUUUAAUCGUGGUACACUUUUCUAUUUGAGCUUCGCAGCACCAUGAAUGUCUCACCAAGAGAAUCAAUUGUUUCAAGCGACACAGAAACAUUGCCCUUAUUUACCGAUAUAGAUGCCCUUUUAUAACCAACCACUACUGUAUACCCCAAGUCCAGUAAACCACCUAAAGUCAUCCGUCCAACCUCAAAUUCAGCUUUAGGUCUGAUAAUAAAAUUUUU